AAUAGCCGAGUCUCCCUCUACCACAUCUGGCCUAACAAUCCACAAAAAUGGGUGCUUGCUAUUUGCAAGCCCCCAUGCGAAUUCUUUCAGAUGCUGAUCUGUCAUUGUAGUUACGCUCCCAUAAUUUACAUACACAACUGAACUAGGUUUCUUCUGAUCAAGCCAUUUAAAACAAUCUGUGUCUGCUUUCCAUAAGUUUGAGCUAAGAGACUCGACCAAUUUGGUUUCGGUUUCAGGCAAUUGCCUCUCAAGCAACUUAAGGGGGCCAAUGGUGUAGAUGUUAGGGAACAUGGACGAUAUUACCUCUAACACUUCAUGUUCAAAUUCAUCAUAUGUGUUGAAGAUGAUUGCAGAAGACUUCAAACAGUUUCGUGCUUCGGAUCCCAAGAAAUCGAACAUUAUGUCGUUGACAUCUGUGACUCUGAUGAAGCUGGGGAUAUCCCUGAGCCGAGCAUUUUUCAUGCCUGGGACCCAAUCAAUUGGUGUAUCCAGUGUACCAUCAUGCAGGAAAGUCUCAUCUGAAAUAUGUAUGGAAGAUAAAUAAUAUGUUUUCGGCACUUGUUAGCGAGAGUGAGCAUUUACAAUUCAUCCAAGUUCAAAAUGCAAGUCCCCCACAAUAAUUGGAGUAGUUUUGUCUGGUUUCUGUUGUUUAUUAUUCAUUCUGCUCAGAUUCUCUUUUGUGCAUUGGUUACAACGAUGAUGUUUUAGCUUUUUGCUGAUUUUUCUUGUUUUUUUCCCUUUUUCUGUUUUGUUUGUCCCGUUAAAAAAACAGAGAGAUGCACCCUGUUUGGUUUCUCUUGUUUAUUAUUAUUAUUCUGUCCUGUUUGUCGUGGGUGCAAGUUUAAUAUGCACUUCCUCUUUCUGAGAAAUUUAUUUAUAUAAUCACGAGGUUAAUCAGGGGAUAUAAUAAGCGCAUAGCUAUUAAUUACUUUAUAAUAUAAACUAUAUAUUCUCACUCACCCAUUUUAUAACAAAAUUUCUUAACUGGACCUAACUUUCCGAACAAAAUAAUUAUUUAUUUUGGAUUCUAACUCCUAUAUUUAAUUCCCCCUCCAUCAAUAUCGUUUUGCAUAAAUAAAUAAAAAAUAUGUAUUUUUAUAUUGAACAAAGAAAUUAUGUCUAUGUUAUCAUGCAUACGAAAUUAACAGUGAAUGAUUUUCAACAUGCUUAUGUAUCACAUAAACUAAUACCAUAUAUGAUUUUCUUAUAGAAGAAUUAAUUUAUAUUUAUUAAAAAGAUUUAUAUUGUAGAAUAUAUAUAAUCUUGAAAGAAGUUAAAAGAUUAGUCUUUUGACAAAAGCUAAAAGCAGAUGUGCUUGGAAUAUUAUCGUGGGAUUGAAUGAUUCAACCUCAAGUCAAGUGCUUGUAAUAAUUAAGUUAAGGAAGUAUACCUUUGAAUGGAACAACGCCUCGCUUGACGAGCUCACUGUAUUGCAAGUAACCCACGAAGCCACAAGCAGAGGCAGUCCAAAACUGGACCUCCGGAAUGCCUAACUCCUGAGCAGCUUGCCUCCCAAAUCCCGUGACACCAUCUGCAACUAUACAAGUAACUUGUGGCACUUGAGAUGAGGAGUUGAUCUUAGUGACCAGCUCUUUGAAUGGACCUAGACAGGUUUUCCUGGUGGAGUCGCAUAUGGCUGGAACAUCUUGGGUUGCAUCCUUAUCCGAAGGAGGCAGCCCGUCCGGUAUGGUCUCGAACUGGAAGUCGGGCAAGCCCUUGACAGAGUCCGGGCCUUUGGACCGGAUUAGGCGCCUGUGGUUGAACUCUGUGUUAACAAAGGUUAUGUGGAAGCCUCUUGAGUGAAGAAGCUUAGCUAAUUGCAUCAUGGGGUUAACAUGGCCUUGAGCUGGGAAAGGGACACAAACCGCAUGUAGUUUUUUGGUUGCUUCUCCUAUUGAACCCAUCUCUCUUUACCAAUAUAAGCAAGGCCUGUGUGGUGAAACCCAACUUUGCUCGUGUCAUUUAUAGAAAAUGUGCCAAGCCUUGCCUCUUCGGCACUUGAUACUGACAUUGGAGUCACUUUGGUCAAAACAAAACAAAAAUUACAGUUUACUAAUAUACAAGUGAUGUGUCAGUAACAAUAAAAUUGCCCAUUUCACCAGAUCAUCACAUGGGCUGACAUGGGAUAGGUAGAAACACGUAUGAUUUACCUUGCCCUUGCUGCAGGGCCGCCCCUGCCUACCAAUGGACACCAGUGCGUGUAAGAGCUCGUUUGUUAUUUUCUUUUCUAUGCCGCUAGCUUUGAACAGAUGAAUGACCCCGGCAACAUUAGAGGAGUAAUUAAUUUUACAUCAUUGUCAUUGAAGGGCACGUUUUCUUACUAAGAAUAUAAAUAUUGUAGUCCUGCGAUUUUGAGAAUCAUAAAAUAUAAAUAUUAUAGCUACAUAAAGUACGGCCGUUCCUGCGAUUCUGAGAAUCAUAAACAACAAACGAAUACAACGAGGCCCUUAUUUUCAAAUUUGUUUACUUAACACAGAGAACAAUAUCGUGUACACAAAAAAUAAAGAACAAUAUCAUGCAUUGACGAACACAACACAACACAACACAAUGCUUACUUGUUUUAGUCUUCGGUGCGCACUAAGAGGAACAAACACGUGGGGAAGAAAAAAGAACAAAAGGACAAUUGCAUUGUUUGUUUGUUGUGCUUGCAAACAAAUCCGCAACAAUCAACACAACAAUAAUACAUGCGGGUUAAUCUGGCAGAGAGGGUUAGUCAAAUACGUGUGGGAAUUUUGGAUUUCCUUUUUGGGAGUUUAUAUUCUACUUUAUGCGAUAUUUGGGUAAUGGGUUUAUUAAAUAUGUUAGGCAAUUUUUGUUUCAGCUAGUCUAGUUGGAAUUUUUGUUAGGCCAAACCGAUGAAACCGAUUGGUUUAAAUUGUAAUUAUUGGUUUGGUUUGAUUUUGAUAAAAAAAAAAUGUCAAACGGUUUAAAAAUCGAAUCGGACCAUAUAUGAUUUGGUUUGAUUUGAUUUUGAAUUUUUGUGUUUUUAUAGAUUUUACCUUGGUUGGAAUAAAUGUGAGCUAAAAAUGCAUUAUUAAUCAAUAUAAAAUAUGUUUUUGCUCAUUUUCGUAGGUUGACUUCCUGGUCUUGGUCAGAAUGUUCCGGUGCUCAGAUGUGGUGAAACUCUUCAUGACACUUGUUCCAAUGGGUUUUGACUACAACAUAUCCAAAAGUUAGCUCCAUUGAAAAAGUAUUACCUCCCCAACUGAUCCAACAUUGAUACUAAUUCUGAAAAUCUAUUUUGGGUCACUUUUACCCUUCUUUUGGUAUCAUCUCCCUUUCUAAUUGUUACCAGACCUCUUGGUAACAAUUAAUUACGUUGUAGAGAUUUGAUUUCAGAUUGGUAAUAAAUUAGAAUCUCUCUCUAUGUAUUAAAACCAAAAUAAAAUGAUGGAAGUGAAGAAAAGUGGAGCAUAUGCCAAACACUUUGGGAAAAAGGUAAAGUAUCCUAUGGACCAGAACUGAACCUCUGGAAUGCUUACUUCCACCGCAGCUCUGCUCCCAAACCCCGUGACCCCAUCUGAAAUUAUGCAAGUAACUGGGGGCAUUUCAGACAAUUCACCAAGCUUAACCAGAAGCUCUUUGAAGGGACCAAGACAGUUUUUUCUGAUGGAAUCACUGAGUGCAGGAACAUCUUGGGUAGCAUCUGUGUCAGAUUGUGGAAGCCCAUCUGGUAUGGCCUCAAAUCUAAAGCCAGGUAAGCCCAUAAGAGCAUCUCCACCCAUAAGGGCUAAGUCUAGGGCAAGGGCAAGCAAGGGCUGCCACUAUUCACAUGAAUAGUGUCAGCCUUGCUAUUUGUGGUUCCAUCCAUGAGGGCUAAGUCUAAGGCAAUUACUAUUCACUUAAAUUUAUUUUUUAUUUUUUAUACUUAAACCAUUGAUUUUGAUAAGCUUUUCGGAUAAGAUUUUCGUUUCUCAAGUGUUAAUAUUUAUCGUAAAAUUCUCACCUAAAAAUCAAGAUAAUAUUUUCGGAUAAAAUUUUGAAAUUAAAAUUGGUGUGGAAAGUGAAUAAUAUUGGUAGGUAUGUAUAGAAAAAAUUUCCAGAAUUUUUUGAUAUUUUUUUAAAAAAAUUUUGAUAUUUUUUUCAAUUUUUUUUAGCCAAAAAUUGGACAACCGUUGGAUUGUGCAAGAUUUUAUGAUCAGAGGCUCUUGGAGAAGCCACAUGGCUUGUAAUCAUUGGGCAAUGUGGGCUGGUGGGUCCAACAGUAAAAAAAAAAUUGAAAAUCAGCUGCUGACGUCAUGCUGACGUCAGCAGCCCGAGGGCAACAGCCCAGUCAAUUUCUGCCUGUGGGCUUGCUCGGGCUGGUGGGUCCCAUGCUUUGCCUGAGCUGGAUUUCCUGCGCUGGAGCCAUAUUGGGCUUGCCAGGGGGCCUUUUGCCCAGUUUGAUAGCAGCGGUGGAGCUGCUCUAAGGGAUGAUGGGUGCCCUUGAGACCUGAUGAUACGCCUGUGGUUGAACUCAGGGUUGUCAAAGGCCCUUUGAGUGUAGGAGCUUGGCUAAUUGCAUCAUAGGGCUAACAUGCCCUUGUGAAGGGUAGGGGACACAAACUUCAUGGGGUUGUGUUCUUCCUCCAACUGGAACCAUCUUUUGCUAAAUUUACUUGGCAAGAGGAAAAAGCGGCAACCGAUCUAAUAUUGUUAUCAUGGCUUCCUUUAUUAUAUUUUUACCAACUAUAAGUUGGCCUUCCAGUCCUUUGGUCUUAUUUAUUUAUUUUUUUUAAUUUUAUAAAUAUUUGGAAUACAUCCAGUCAUUUUGUCUUAGUGAUCAUAUCUCAUCAUUUUCAUUAGCUUUUGUGUUUUUUUUUAUAAGGUUUCUAAAUCUUAAAAACCGAUUUUGGGGUUUGGAGUCCAAUUCUACUUUUAAGUUUAAAAAAUUGUAUUCAAAUAGAAUACCAAACGGGCCUUUAAAUAGAAUACCAAACGAGCCCUUAGCUUUUGAAAUACUUCGAAAUCUAAAAUAGAGAUCUGCCCAAUACAUAAUCAACAGGUAAUUCGAAUAUCAAUAUAUGUAUGCAUUUGCAACAAACUGUAGAAGGCUGAACGGAAAUAUUAAUUUUAUUUAGAAGCCCAGUCUGCUUGGAAACUGUAACAGAGUUGGGCUACAAACAACUAGAGAAACAACUGACGUCCAAAUAAAACAUAAACAUUAUUACAGCACUUGAACAUAUAUAUAUAUAUAUAUAUAUUUGGGAGUUCUUGACAAGGAAACAUAUUUGUUCCCCAUUGUAGCAGUCAUCCACCUUAAUGGAGAGACUUAAUCAAUCUAUCAAAAUUAUUGUACGAUGAUCCUCCAAUAUCAGUAGCUUGUACAGCUUUUUUCUUCCAUUCUUUUGCCUUUUGCCUCAUCUUCAUCCCCUUUUCUCCUUCAAGAAUCUCCUUAACAAGCACUUCGAUUUCGUCACGCUUCACAUCGGGGCUCACUUCCAUUCCAAUCCCCCAUUCAGUGCAUGCGUAUCGACAAUUCGUGUGUUGAUCAGCAAAGAAAGGCCAGCAAAUUACUGGCACGCCUUCGGAUACACUUUCAAGAGUAGAGUUCCAGCCAGUGUGUGUUAAAAAAGCCCCAACAGAUGGAUGAGCUAGCACUUGGUCCUGUGGACACCAGCUUGCUAUAUAACCCCUUUCCUUAAUCUCCUCAAAAAAUUCAUUGGGUAAAAUAGCUGAGUCUCCCUCUACCACAUCAGGCCUAACAAUCCACAAAAAUGGGUGCUUGCUAUUUGCAAGCCCCCAUGCGAAUUCUUUCAGAUGCUGAUCUGUCAUUGUAGUUAUGCUCCCAUAAUUUACAUACACAACUGAACUAGGUUUCUUCUGAUCAAGCCAUUUCAAACAUUCUGUGUCUUCUUUCCAUAAGUUUGAGCUAAGAGACUCGACCAAUUUGGUUUCCGUUUUAGACAAAUGCCUCUCAAGCAACUUAAGGGGGCCAAUGGUGUAGAUGUUAGGGAAUAUGG
This 5942-nucleotide long non-coding RNA is filed under the name Prunus persica (peach). Its description in RNAcentral is "long non-coding RNA (PPER_LNC006441)". The record is from RNAcentral. Lineage: Eukaryota; Viridiplantae; Streptophyta; Magnoliopsida; Rosales; Rosaceae.